Molecule: ribosomal RNA, 253 nt
Filed under: uncultured bacterium
Lineage: Bacteria
Description: partial 16S ribosomal RNA
Rfam family: Bacterial small subunit ribosomal RNA
Source: RNAcentral
UACGUAGGGUGCGAGCGUUAAUCGGAAUUACUGGGCGUAAAGCGUGCGCAGGCGGUUUUGUAAGCCAGGUGUGGAAUCCCCGGGCUCAACCUGGGAAUGGCAUUUGGGACUGCAAGGCUGGAGUGUGGCAGAGGAGACUGGAAUUCCUGGUGUAGCAGUGAAAUGCGUAGAUAUCAGGAGGAAUACCGAUGGCGAAGGCAGGUCUCUGGGCUGACACUGACGCUCAUGCACGAAAGCGUGGGGAGCAAACAGG